GGCAGUUGCAGAGAGAGCAGAGCUUCUAGGAGUAAUAGCAACUCCCCCGUUGCUCCUAGGGGCUCAUUUGCAUAUAUUAAAACUUGAUAAGUACAAAGCUGCUGACAGAUGCCCUUUAACUGGAAGACUAAGAAAGUAGUGGCUCGCCAACAUGAGAAGUUAAAAAAGGAUUUCCGGUACUUUGCAAAUCCCAUAAUUUGUUGGUACAAGCUGAUUAAUGCGCCCUUCAUGUCAUUAGAAGGAUGGUUAAAUUAUUCUUUAACUGUAAAGCUGGACAUGCACAUUCAAUAGCUGUCGGGCGAGCGAUCAGGCAGCUAUCUCUCACGACUCCUCCAUACAAAUACAUGUUUGUUUUGGCCAAGCAUGUAUUCAAUGUGAAGAGAGGAGAAAGCUGCUGACAGAUACCUCUGCUGGUGGCGUAUCUCCUUGGAGAGCAAAAGGAUCAGGCCAAAAUAUAAAUUUCACCCAAUCCUUUUUCCUCCACCGACAUCAUGGAUCGCGGGAGAGUUAGGAGGUCCAGAUUAGGUUCUGAGCAGAACCUGACGUUCUUGGUGGGUUCAGCUGACGAUACACUAAUGUGUAUGGAGGCCUUUAGAAUCUACAAACAGCAGCGUAGAUCUUAGGAUCCUUUUACACAAGUAGAUAAAGUAGGUUCAAUCGCUUGUCCUCUCCCUUUUCAUGCCCAUUGGAUUGUAAACGAUGGGCAGAUGCCCGUUUAUGCAAGUGGAUGUUCUGCCAUCAAACAAUGAUUUACACGUCCACAUAAAAGACGUAAUGAAUGACAAACAAGCAAAGUGCUGAUCGUCAUUUGAUCGUUGGACAUGAUUACACUGGUCAAUGAUUGUGAUUGAUAGUUUUAAUAAAAGAUCAAUCAGGCGAUUAUCACCCAAUGUAAAAGAGCCUUUAAUUUCCUGGGUACUAAAAGUUACGUGGAUUUAGGAUUUCAUGAAUUUCCUACUUUCUGAUAAAAUCUAUGUAAAGAUCAUCCUUAGGUCUAAUGCACACGGCUGUAUAAAUCUUAGGCUACUUUCACACUAGCGUUAAAUUUUCCCAGCAUUGAGGGUAGAAAAAGCCCA
Bufo bufo (common toad) is the source of this 1076-nucleotide long non-coding RNA. RefSeq lists it as uncharacterized. The transcript has 3 exons. Lineage: Eukaryota; Metazoa; Chordata; Amphibia; Anura; Bufonidae. The record is from RefSeq and is a predicted model, not a curated record.